AUUAGCGCCUGACUGUAAUAUGCCCAGGAAGUUCAGCAGGUUUGCUCACUUUCAUGAAGAGGAGCUCAUGGUUCCUGGAAAUGGCCGAUAGAAGCUGAGCACGAAUGAAAAGGCAGGAAACUCAUUCCUCAAAACUCAGGUUAUAAGAGUUAGAAAUGUUCACUGAGAGCAAAAUUAUCAUCUGGAUCGCUCUAGUUUCAUGGCCAAACCCUGCCUAUAUAUUUGCUGUGAAAAGGGCUCAGAGUGUCUACGAGGCUGAAGAGGGCAGCAACAUCACCAUCAGAGUGGACAGUCAGCUCCAAGCUGACGUGUCUCUGGCUCACUUGAUGUGUGUUUUCUACUCACAUGAUACUAAGAUAUUGUUUAAAAUGACCAGAGGAGUGGAGGACUCUGAGUCUCAGCACGAACAGUUUGCAAGACGAGUUCAGAUCAACAGAGACGCCCUGAGAGGAGGAAGAGUCAGACUUCAUGUGUCCAGAGUCACAGCUGAAGACUCUGGAAACUACCGCUGUGAUCUGGCUGCUGAUUAUAACAAGGUUCUGAGGAGAUGGGAGCUCGAGGCCUCUGAAUAUUUCAUCUUGAAUGUGACUCGCUCUCAUUCAGUAAGCAGUGACGCGUUCCACACCACACCAAAGCCAGAUGAAGGUAGGACACACCGAGCUGCUUCAGUGGUUAUUAAAGGUUUUAAAGGUAUUCACUCAUAAAUUAACAAAGUGCUUUGUGAUCAAACUUUAGUUUUCCUGACAAAAUAAAGUCCUUUUAGAACAAAUCGAACCACUGGGCAGCCAGUUUGAAAUGCUGCCAGGCAUUUAUUUGGGCACUUACUUAGAAGCAUUGACAAUAAUAACACUGCUCCUCUUUUUGCCAUGGCAUUUUUAUGAAUUUAAUGUGUAUUCAGUACCUAAAAACACUUACUGGUAGGUGCUGCAGAAAAGGGGGGCGGCUGGAGGGUUUAAAGCAGGGGUCGGCAACCCACGGCUCCGGAGCCGCAUGCGGCUCUUUUGUCCUUAUACUGCGGCUCCGGGUGGUUUGGGAAAAUAAAUUAGAAGUAUUUAGCGGAAGUGUAUUUUAUUUAUGUUAGUGCUUUUUUAACUUGUAGUUCUAAAUGGGAAGAUUAUUGUGAUUUUGUAAUAUAAAAAUACAAUUAUACUUUAUUAUUUCAUCGCUCACAAUAAGAGUCACACUCGCGGAAGCCGGUAUACCCGCUGAAACGCCGUGCAUUUAUCGAGACUUUCAACUCCAGAUAGGCCAAUGAUGAAUCUUUGAAUUCACAUUAUGUCAGCAGCUGUUCUCCACCAUGAACUAUGUUAAAAACAAACACUGCUCCCGCCUCACAGACGACAGCUUACAGUCCUGCGUAAAGAUGAAAGCCCCGAUAUGCAGACGCUGUGCGCAGAGGUUUGGGACCAGAAGUCUCAUUGUAAACAUAUCACGGCAGACCCGACGAUGUUUGCAUGAACAUGCUUUUCAGCAUCUCUUUAUUGACCACUUUUCACACACGGUUGCCGUGCGCAUAAAGCUGGCUGUAGCUUUUCAGCUCACAGCCCGACAACACAAGAGCAGAGAGAGCAGGUGCCGCUCAGGUGCGUCCGAUUCCCAUGCAGCAGCACUGCAGAUCACGCCCCGCUACACACAUUAACCAGGUAAAAUGCAUAUUUAGGCACAAUUUUGCAAAUAUCUAUUUUUUUUAGUAGUAUAGUGCUUUUGUUUAAAAUAGUUUUUAAUUGGAAAAAAAAACUGUUGUGAGGGUGGCGGCUCACAGCAGUUUUUGUUUGCUACAUGGAUCAUUUUAGUUCAGCUGGGUGUCUUUCCUUUUGUUAUAUUUCUUUAAGAGUUAAAAAUGUGUUAAUUGCAUAAAUAAAACGUAAUUUUCUCUGUAGCACUUCAUGGAUUUAAGCAACACACCUUAGUUUCUCUGUGGAUUCUUUUAAAAAGCAGUUAAAAACUUUUCUGUUCAAACAAGCCUUUUGUUGAUCUACGUAUUUUAUAUUCUUUACAUUAUUUACAUUUAGCAUAGCAUAGCAUAGCAUCUUUAUUUAUAACGCACUUUACAUCCAACAAUGUUGACCAAAGUGCUACAAAUAUAAAACAGAGAGGAAACAGUUUAAAUUACAUAUAAAAUAUCUUAAACAUUUGAUCUUUUACAUUGUGUAUAAUGUCUAUUGAUUGUAUUAUUUUAAUAUUUGUGUACAGCGCUUUGUGACUGCCUGUCUGUGAAAAGCACUUAAUAAAUAAACUUUACUUAUUUACUUUAGUUGUUCACACAAAGCAUAAAGGUAAAAAACAAUAUAUACAGUGUUAUCUUCAUUUCAGAUGUCAAAAAGUAUUUGCGGCUCCCAGUGUUUUCUUUUGCGUGGAAACCGGGUCCAAGUGGCUCUUUGGGUGUUAAAGGUUGCUGACCCCUGGUUUAAAGGAAAGUAGAAACAAAAUCUACUGUAUGAAUUUUAAAUCAUCACUAACAUCAGAGUAGUUGAGUCCAGAUGAACAGAAUCAACUUUCUGGGAUUUCCUUGCCUGCAUGAUUGAGCACACAUCAAAGUAUAACAUCAGAGCAUUUUAACUUCAUUUUUUUCUGAUAAUUUACUGGAACAAAUGUUUAAAAGUGCAUUUGGGGUACACUUUAAAUUGUAAGAAUUUGAGAUUAAACUGUUUUAAAGGAUUUCUUCAUUUUGCUGCACCACCCCUGCUCUGCAGAAGACCACAACACCACCUGGCACAAAUGUAUACAUAGGUUAUCUGACCAUAAUGUGUCAGAGAGCAGGGAGUGUAGCUAUUUCCUUUUAGGUUUUACAACAUCUGUUUUUGGAGACAAACAUGCUAUCACAGCAGAUUAUGUCCUGUUUCACCUAAGAAAUUAAAACAUAGCAGCCAUAAUGAUUUAAAUAUACUUUAUAGAAAGUGGAAAUUGCAAGAACUUCCUUUUACUACAACUUCCUUCCGAGGACUACUGGGAUUUCUUAUAUAACCAUAUAUAACCAUUACAUCCAUUAAACACGCUUCUCACUUAUGGAUCAUUAAAGAACAUGAUAAUUGGCAUUUAUAGUUAUAAAUACUAACUUGACAUGAAUAAACACUUAGAACGCACACUAUCAUUGCAUAGAUACAUGUGGAUUUAGACCCAGAACAGAUUUAAAAUGUGUUAUUUUUUGUGUAUUUUGGUUCGCUUUAAAAUGGUCAUCAGUUAUGAAAUGUUAAAUCAAACAUAAACAGUUGCUUCACCUGAAAUCAGACAUAAACUGAUGUUUUUAUUCUUGCAGGAGCAGGAGGUCGAAAGGAGAAACACAGAGCUUAUGACUGGAACAAAGUUAAAAUUGAUCUAGGAGCUCUAAAUGUUGGAUUUCUGAUGCUUGGUGGUUUAAUGUUGGUGAUAAUAUCUAUUAGCUGCAAGCUAAUAGAUAUCUGCAAGCAAUAUUGAGAAGAGUAAGUUUGUUUUUUUUCCUGUUGUUGAACUUGACCUGAACAAUUUCUAUGCUCUGAUUUAUGUAUUGAUUUCUGUUUGCACAGAUAAAGGCAAAAGCCUAUAUAUAUCUAUAUCUAUAUCAUAUCUAUAUAUAUAUGUAUAUAUAUAUAUAAAAAAAAACACCCAUCUCGCCCCUGCGGGCGGUUUAUCCUUUCAAGCUCGGGGUCCUGCGCAGUAUCUUAGCUGUUCCCAGGACUGUGCCCAGGACAUACAUACAUACAUACAUACAUACAUACAUACAUAUACAUAUAUAUAUAUAUAUAUAUAGAGAGAGAGAGAUAGAGAGAGAGAGAGAGAGAGAGAGAGAGAGGCACAUAUUUCACUAAUGUUCCACUGUGCAUGCUCUCGUGGUUUCCUAGAAUUAAUAACCAUAACUUUCAACCAUUCUCAGUAUCAGCUUCAACUGAAUCAAGCACUUGUUAAAUCCGCUGUUUGCAAUAAUUUGAAAAAACCUGGUUUCUGUUGCAAAAAAAACUAAGACUGUUUAUUUUUUGUGUUAUUUAUAAACUUGCUUUAUCUUUAUCUUUUUUAAUCUGUGAAGCACUUCCCAUUUUUAUUUGUAAAUAUAAAUGUUUUUUUCCAAUGUUAAAACAAAUGUUGGCAUUUUUACCAAGUAAAGUUUGAAUGUGACUAUAAUAGUCUGGUAGCAAUGUGUUUUGGUGACAUGUUUUAAAACUUUAUUGCAGUUUGUUAUCAAGACAAUUGUCGUUUGAUUCUCUUUGUGUUUAUAGUUUUGUUUUUUGUUUUUUAAAUAAAUGUGUUGUUUUGAAUCUUCAGCACGACUCUUUUGUUUUUAAUAAAGUAAAUGUCACUUACAUAUUGUCAGUACAUAGUCUGAUUUCUUGUCAAGUAAAUGUUAAGUGAAGCAUCAGGUACAGACAUGAGAUUCCUCGAGUUCAGGAGUGCCACACUUUGCAUCAGACUGUAGCUGUGAGGAAAGAGCUGGGAGGAGCUUUAAUAUCAUUGAUACAAGUUCAUCAUAGUGUCUGUGUUCAUUUGGCAGAAGGUUAAACUCUUUUUCUAAUAAAUCAGGUUUUCUGUGUUUUGAUGUACUUAAACAGGGUUAUUAUACAGAUAAAUGAUUAAAAAGAUAAACUCCAUAAAUAUUUUCUUAUAGCUGCUUAUAGAAAUGACUCCUCAGUACUGACAGGAAUUUAAGUAAAAACUUUCAGAG
This 4633-nucleotide long non-coding RNA is filed under the name Oreochromis niloticus (Nile tilapia). RNAcentral's name for it is "lncRNA (ENSONIG00000036564.1)". The record is from RNAcentral. Lineage: Eukaryota; Metazoa; Chordata; Actinopteri; Cichliformes; Cichlidae.